AAGUCGUAACAAGGUUUCCGUAGGUGAACCUGCGGAAGGAUCAUUAUCACGUAAUAAUCCACGUUAUAAACCCUUCUUUGAAUUGUUUAAAAAAAACAUAAAUUUCUGGAACAGCUUUCGUAGCUGGAAUGCUUUUGGAUUGGGUUAUGGAAAUUUUUAAUAGAACACUUUUUUUCUAUAAAUUUAUUUUUUAUGGGAAAUUGAAAUGGGAAAAUUAUUGUAAUUUGAGAUCCCAGAGUUUUGUUAAUAGUUCAUAACCAGCAAUUCGUUGGCGUCUAAGAAAUUGUAAACUCAAAUUACAUUUAUAGAAUUAACUAUUUUAACCCCUUUUGAUAAAUUGAACUAACGAUUCUCUACUCUAUCCCUUAAACAAGGUGUGAGAUUGAAUAAAUACGAAACAAAGAA
RNAcentral lists this unclassified non-coding RNA (405 nucleotides) under plant metagenome. RNAcentral describes it as "partial contains small subunit ribosomal RNA and internal transcribed spacer 1". The stretch from base 1 to 46 matches the Rfam family "Eukaryotic small subunit ribosomal RNA", at positions 1786 to 1831 of the family's 1831-position model. The record is from RNAcentral.